RNAcentral lists this ribosomal RNA (433 nucleotides) under uncultured bacterium. RNAcentral's name for it is "bacterial SSU rRNA". It matches the Rfam family "Bacterial small subunit ribosomal RNA", at positions 29 to 507 of the family's 1533-position model. The record is from RNAcentral.
AACGAACGCUGGCGGCAGGCCUAACACAUGCAAGUCGAGCGGGACCUUCGGGUCUAGCGGCGGACGGGUUAGUAACGCGUGGGAACGUGCCCAAAGGUACGGAAUAGCCUCGGGAAACUGAGAGUAAUACCGUAUGUGCCCCUCGGGGGAAAGAUUUAUCGCCUUUGGAUCGGCCCGCGUUGGAUUAGGUAGUUGGUGGGGUAAUGGCCUACCAAGCCGACGAUCCAUAGCUGGUUUGAGAGGAUGAUCAGCAACACUGGGACUGAGACACGGCCCAGACUCCUACGGGAGGCAGCAGUGGGGAAUCUUAGACAAUGGGGGAAACCCUGAUCUAGCCAUGCCGCGUGAGCGAUGAAGGCCUUAGGGUUGUAAAGCUCUUUCAGAUGGGAAGAUAAUGACGGUACCAUCAGAAGAAGCCCCGGCUAACUACGUG